Molecule: ribosomal RNA, 460 nt
Filed under: uncultured bacterium
Lineage: Bacteria
Description: partial 16S ribosomal RNA
Rfam family: Bacterial small subunit ribosomal RNA
Source: RNAcentral
CCUACGGGAGGCAGCAGUGAGGAAUAUUGGUCAAUGGGCGCUAGCCUGAACCAGCCAAGUAGCGUGAAGGAUGACUGCUCUAUGGGUUGUAAACUUCUUUUAUAUGGGAAUAAAAUGCAGUAUGUAUAGUUCUUUGCAUGUACCUUAUGAAUAAGGAUCGGCUAACUCCGUGCCAGCAGCCGCGGUAAUAAGGAGGAUCCGAGCGUUAUCCGGAUUUAUUGGGUUUAAAGGGUGCGUAGGCGGGUUGUUAAGUCAGUUGUGAAAGUUUGCGGCUCAACCGUAAAAUUGCAGUUGAUACUGGCCUCCUUGAGUAUAGUAGAGGUAGGCGGAAUGCGUGGUGUAGCGGUGAAAUGCUUAGAUAUCACGAAGAACUCCGAUUGCGAAGGCAGCCUGCUGGACUGUAACUGACGCUGAUGCUCGAAAGUGUGGGUAUCAAACAGGAUUAGAUACCCCAGUAGUC